Molecule: long non-coding RNA, 258 nt
Filed under: Nicotiana benthamiana
Lineage: Eukaryota; Viridiplantae; Streptophyta; Magnoliopsida; Solanales; Solanaceae
Description: long non-coding RNA (NBEN_LNC010662)
Source: RNAcentral
CCUUUAGUUCAUUUGCAAGAGAGAAGGCCUAGAAAGUCAGUCCAUUAGCAGUUUCAUUUUUUUUCAGGGGUCCAGAAGGCUAAAAGGUGGGGGAGAAGGAAGCCGAACCUCUAAUCGACCUGGACACAUAAAUAAUUCUCGGCGUCGAGAGAGAUUUGAGAUUCCGUAAGUAACUCAGUGAGUGCUUUCUAAGAAGGGCUUGGAAGAAGAAAAUGAAAUAGGAACAACCGCGCUGGUCGUAAUAGAUCGACUUUCAUG